Molecule: long non-coding RNA, 698 nt
Organism: Venturia canescens
Lineage: Eukaryota; Metazoa; Arthropoda; Insecta; Hymenoptera; Ichneumonidae
Exons: 2
Source: RefSeq, a predicted model, not a curated record
CAACGCGAAUAUAUACGACAGAGAAUUACAGGCCCGCGCGAGCUACGCGAUUCCGCAGUGUAUGAUUUAAGAUUUUAUUAAUAGAUUACUCGUUCGGUCCAUUUCACGACGUACUGUCGUUCAAAAACUGACUUAUAAAGAACAGGAUGUAAAACUCGGAUUAUGAUGCUUCUUUUGGUUCUUACUACCUCAUGAGUGCCCACCCAUCCACGAAGAGAAAAGGCUUGGGGUUAGCCUAACCCACUCCCACGGGGUUCGAUGACGGUGAAAGGGGGUACCUCCCGCCCGGCACCCACCCACAGGUUUCCAUCGGGCCAACAGUACUUGAUUUCUUUGAUUCUUAUUUGCUUACGUACGAUUAUUAAUUCGAUUGUUACCGGCGUCCACUUGAUAUUUUAUCACGUUUUGGCAAUCAUUAAAAUGGUUUCUCUAUAUGAAUCGUAAUUUAUCAAGAGAAAUAUAUAAGAACUUCGUUUCAUUUGGGGUAGAUAACAACUUGAGAUAAUGAGAUUAGAGAAACCAUUUCUGAAGAUUGUUUUUUUUCCGUUAUCUUGCCGGUCCUAAGAUUGUUCAUUGAAAAGUAACAAAAAUAACCGUGAAAAACCUAUGUAAACUACGAUCGUUAAAUGAUAUUGUAACAACUGUUGUUUCAAAUAUAUAAAAAAAAGAAUUAAAAAAAAAAAAAAAAAAAAAAAAAA